Molecule: unclassified non-coding RNA, 393 nt
Filed under: fungal sp.
Lineage: Eukaryota; Fungi
Description: partial internal transcribed spacer region
Rfam family: Eukaryotic small subunit ribosomal RNA (bases 1-46)
Source: RNAcentral
AAGUCGUAACAAGGUUUCCGUAGGUGAACCUGCGGAAGGAUCAUUAACACGUAUCCACGUAUCAACCAAUUGUGAACUUGUUUUCAACUCUCCCUACCUUAUACAUGAAUUGAAUUUAAUAAAAUAAUGAUGAGGAACUUCGGUUCUAGUUUUAUUAAAUAACUUGACUUUCGGGUCUGACAAUUGUAGUAUGAUGGUUAGGCAAACCCCUUUCUACUAAUAACUUCUCUCAUCUUGAAGUAAUUAGUGGGAUAUAAUACACCUAUUUCACCACACUUUUUGCUAGUUGACUUUUAUAUGUUGUUUUAUUUGUACUUUAUUGUAUAAUUAAAUCACACGUUUAUUAUUUGAACGUUAAAAUUACAACUCUUAGCAAUGGAUAUCUUGGUUCUC